This 253-nucleotide ribosomal RNA is filed under the name uncultured bacterium. RNAcentral's name for it is "partial 16S ribosomal RNA". It matches the Rfam family "Bacterial small subunit ribosomal RNA", at positions 524 to 776 of the family's 1533-position model. The record is from RNAcentral.
UACGUAGGGUGCAGGCGUUAAUCGGAAUUACUGGGCGUAAAGCGUGCGCAGGCGGUUCGUUAAGAGAGAUGUGAAAUCCCCGGGCUUAACCUGGGAACUGCGUUUCUAACUGGCGAGCUUGAGUGUGGCAGAGGGGGGUGGAAUUCCACGUGUAGCAGUGAAAUGCGUAGAGAUGUGGAGGAACACCGAUGGCGAAGGCAGCCCCCUGGGCUAACACUGACGCUCAUGCACGAAAGCGUGGGGAGCAAACAGG